This is a long non-coding RNA of Alosa alosa (allis shad), 571 nucleotides long. RefSeq lists it as uncharacterized. Lineage: Eukaryota; Metazoa; Chordata; Actinopteri; Clupeiformes; Clupeidae. The record is from RefSeq and is a predicted model, not a curated record. The transcript has 2 exons.
AGAAAUAAAUAUAGCAGCCACAGCAAAAAUGUUGUUGUCAAAGCUGCCAUGUUCAGAUGUGUGUGUGUGAAUAAGUAACUUGAUCAGACACACUCCAUAUUACCUUGUAUGGGACAGGGUCUUAGUGCCGAAUUUACAAUCUGGCUAGGAGCUGCUGGCAGUCAAAACGGGACAGCUUUAUGAUCCAAGGGCCUGGUCAGCCACAGUCUCUUCACCCUCCUGCCAUCCUGUAGAAAUUACAAGAGCUUUUGGACCUGUUCCAGCAGAUUCAGAAACAGUUUCUAUCCACAAUCCACCAAGAUGCUGAACUGUCAUUACACUUCCUCAUAAUGUGUUCAACUUUCACACCUCCUCAGAGGUUAUUGCACUUACCACUUUAGUUUUCAUUCUUGUUGUCUUCUUAGUACUCAUGUCACACUUCAGUCCUGUUUAAUUAGUAAUUAAUAUACCUUUUUAAUUCUACUAUUUAAUGUAUUAUUUACAGCUUAACUGGCGUUUGAGCAUAAUACAUUUCAUUACUAAUAAAUGUCUAUUUAUAAGUACAUGACAAUAAACUUGAACUUGAAAAUCA